Long non-coding RNA from Homo sapiens (human), 718 nucleotides. Ensembl annotates it as long intergenic non-protein coding RNA 2286. NCBI's taxonomy places the organism in Eukaryota, Metazoa, Chordata, Mammalia, Primates, Hominidae. The record is from Ensembl.
UUUAAUAGAUUCAUUCCUCUGAGGACCCUCAAGUACUUCAGAAGAACUAAAAAAUGAAUAUCACGUUACACCAAAGAAGAAAUGAAAGCUGCCAGUGUCUUCUGAAGUUAAACAGGCUCCUGUUCUUUGACCCAGCAAUCCAAUCCUAGGUAUUUAAUUGUUCCCUGAGGUUUAAGGCAGUGGACUGAGGAUAAUACAGGCUCCAGCUUUCAUUAGUUCAAUGGAUGAUGCUGUUCAAUCCAUACUGUUUGGGGCAUUUGUUGAAAAUGUCAUUCAGAAGAUAUCAACACUUUCUGAGUCAUGGUUUGAUUGAAUUUAUAGAAUUAUGUGAUAGAAACCACAUUCUUCACAAAAGUCACAAGGCAAUAAUGACGACAAGGGUUGAAGAUGAAAGAUGCCAAAUAUUCUGAUCAAUUCAAUAAGGCAAAAAGACAAGUUAAUUCACUCAGUGCUCCAGGCAUCAACUUCAUAGAAGGAAUGGAAAUUCUACCUGUUUCCUAAAGAACUACAGAGGUGUACACCAAACGGAGGGCAAAUGCUGUUACCACUCAUCGUGCAAGACUUUUGAGGCAAUUUGGACAUAGACAAGUGAUGGGAAAAUUGAAUCAUUAUAUGGCUCAUGACAGUGUUGAAAACUCAAACAUCCAAGGACCUGUACCUUUGCUAAGUGCCAUGCAUAUGUUGCUGAUAAAGAUGCAAUAAAUACUCUUUUGUUAAA